GACGAACGCUGGCGGCGUGCUUAACACAUGCAAGUCGAACGGAAAGGCCCUGCUUUUGUGGGGUGCUCGAGUGGCGAACGGGGGAGUAACACGUGAGUAACCUGCCCUUGACUGUGGGGUAACUUAAGGAAACUGGGGCUCAUACCGGAUAGGAGCUACUGCUGCAUGGUGGGGGUUGGAAAGUUUCGGCGGUUGGGGAUGGACUCGCGGCUUAUCAGCUUGUUGGUUGGGUAGUGGCUUACCAAGGCUUUGACGGGUAGCAGGCCUGAGCGGGUGAGCGGCCACAUUGGGACUGAGAUACGGCCCAGACUCCUAUGGUAGGCAGCAGAGGGGAAUAUUGCACAAUGGGCGGGAGCCUGAUGUAGCAACGCCGCGUGGGGGAUGACGUCCUGCGGGUUGGAAACCGCUUUCGCCUGUGACGAAGCGUGAGUGACGGUAAUGGGUAAAGAAGCACCGGCUAACUACGUG
Molecule: ribosomal RNA, 468 nt
Filed under: uncultured bacterium
Lineage: Bacteria
Description: partial 16S ribosomal RNA
Rfam family: Bacterial small subunit ribosomal RNA
Source: RNAcentral